RNAcentral lists this ribosomal RNA (408 nucleotides) under uncultured bacterium. RNAcentral describes it as "partial 16S ribosomal RNA". It matches the Rfam family "Bacterial small subunit ribosomal RNA", at positions 28 to 526 of the family's 1533-position model. The record is from RNAcentral.
GACGAACGAUGGCGGCGUGCUUAACACAUGCAAGUCGAACGAAGUGGCGAACGGGUGAGUAACGCGUAAUCAACCUGCCCUUCUGAGGGGGACAACAGUUGGAAACGACUGCUAAUACCGCAUACUGAAGGAGGGGAUCGCGCCUGAUUAGCUAGUUGGAGGGGUAACGGCCCACCAAGGGGAUGAUCAGUAGCCGGACUGAGAGGAUGAACGGCACGAUUGGGACUGAGACACGGCCCAGACUCCUACGGGAGGCAGCAGUAGGGAAACUGCGACAAUGGACGAAAGUCUGACCGAGCAACGCCGCGUGAGUGAAGAAGGUUUUCGGACCGUAAAACUCUGUUGUUAGAGAAGCGGUAUCUAACCAGAAAGCCACGGCUAACUACGUGCCAGCAGCCGCGGUAAUAC